UUUGAAAUUACAACUUUAAAGGGUAAGAUUGGAGAAGAUGAUGCUAAGAUGAUGUUCUUUACUCAUGGGAUCCUGUUGCAGCUAUGGCUAGGAGAAUUUAUUGAAUGAGAAAGCUUCAUUGUCUAACACUGUAAAUAAGCUUCAAAGAGAUGUUUUAAAGUUGGAGGUGUUUAGAAAGACCCUUAUGAAGUCACUUCAAGUUGAGGAGGAAGGUUCUCUUGUGUGUCUUAACUGACUUGGAGGUUGACCACAUGAAUCCUUUUGAAGCAACAGCUGCUGUUAACGUGUGGAUUCUGCCUGAGUUUGUUUUGCAAGGGUUAGCAAUGGUCGAUGGCAAUGGUAUGCUUCUUCCUCGAGGUGAGUAAAGUAAUGUUUGGCUUAAUAUUUUGGAUUUGUAGCUAUCUAUUUAUUUGGUUUGUUGUCAAAGAGAUUGGAAGAUGCAGGUCUGACAUUCACCUAGAUAACCAGAAAAGUCAGUGAAGUGAAGUCAACAGGAGUACAAUAGCUCGCCAUUCUGGACUUGCUCCUUUAGACUAUGAUACCUGGCGUAAGGU
Molecule: long non-coding RNA, 554 nt
Organism: Mercurialis annua (annual mercury)
Lineage: Eukaryota; Viridiplantae; Streptophyta; Magnoliopsida; Malpighiales; Euphorbiaceae
Exons: 5
Source: RefSeq, a predicted model, not a curated record